AAUCCAGAGAUGGAUUUGUGCCUUCGGGAACUGUGAGACAGGUGCUGCAUGGCUGUCGUCAGCUCGUGUUGUGAAAUGUUGGGUUAAGUCCCGCAACGAGCGCAACCCUUAUCCUUUGUUGCCAGCGGUCCGGCCGGGAACUCAAAGGAGACUGCCAGUGAUAAACUGGAGGAAGGUGGGGAUGACGUCAAGUCAUCAUGGCCCUUACGACCAGGGCUACACACGUGCUACAAUGGCGCAUACAAAGAGAAGCGACCUCGCGAGAGCAAGCGGACCUCAUAAAGUGCGUCGUAGUCCGGAUUGGAGUCUGCAACUCGACUCCAUGAAGUCGGAAUCGCUAGUAAUCGUGGAUCAGAAUGCCACGGUGAAUACGUUCCCGGGCCUUGUACACACCGCCCGUCACACCAUGGGAGUGGGUUGCAAAAGAAGUAGGUAGCUUAACCUUCGGGAGGGCGCUUACCACUUUGUGAUUCAUGACUGGGGUGAAGUCGUAACAAGGUAACCGUAGGGGAACCUGCGGUUGGAUCACCUCCUUACCUGAAAGAA
Molecule: ribosomal RNA, 546 nt
Filed under: Salmonella enterica
Lineage: Bacteria; Pseudomonadati; Pseudomonadota; Gammaproteobacteria; Enterobacterales; Enterobacteriaceae
Also listed under: 1 other name
Description: bacterial SSU rRNA
Rfam family: Bacterial small subunit ribosomal RNA
Source: RNAcentral